RNAcentral lists this ribosomal RNA (496 nucleotides) under uncultured bacterium. RNAcentral's name for it is "partial 16S ribosomal RNA". It matches the Rfam family "Bacterial small subunit ribosomal RNA", at positions 29 to 507 of the family's 1533-position model. The record is from RNAcentral.
AUGAACGCUGGCGGCGUGCCUAAUACAUGCAAGUCGAGCGAACAGACGAGGAGCUUGCUCCUCUGACGUUAGCGGCGGCCGGGUGAGUAACACGUGGAUAACCUACCUAUAAGACUGGGAUAACUUCGGGAAACCGGAGCUAAUACCGGAUAAUAUAUUGAACCGCAUGGUUCAAUAGUGAAAGACGGUUUUGCUGACACUUAUAGAUGGAUCCGCGCCGCAUUAGCUAGUUGGUAAGGUAACGGCUUACCAAGGCAACGAUGCGUAGCCGACCUGAGAGGGGGGUCGGCCACCCUGGAACUGAGACACGGUCCAGACUCCUACGGGAGGCAGCAGUAGGGAAUCUGCCGCAAGGGGCGAAAGCCUGACGGAGCAACGCCGCGUGAGUGAUGAAGGUCUUCGGAUCGUAAAACUCUGUUAUUAGGGAAGAACAAAUGUGUAAGUAACUAUGCACGUCUUGACGGUACCUAAUCAGAAAGCCACGGCUAACUACGUG